GACAGAGGGGGCAAGCGUUGCUCGGAAUUACUGGGCGUAAAGGGCGCGUAGGCGGGAUGGCAAGUCGGUCGUGAAAUCCUUCGGCUCAACCGAAGAACGUCGAUCGAUACUGCUGUUCUUGAGGGGUGCAGAGGAGACUGGAAUUCCCGGUGUAGCGGUGAAAUGUGUAGAGAUCGGGAGGAACACCGGUGGCGAAGGCGGGUCUCUGGACAGUUCCUGACACUGAGGCACGAAGGCCAGGGGAGCAAACGGG
This 253-nucleotide ribosomal RNA is filed under the name uncultured bacterium. Its description in RNAcentral is "partial 16S ribosomal RNA". It matches the Rfam family "Bacterial small subunit ribosomal RNA", at positions 524 to 776 of the family's 1533-position model. The record is from RNAcentral.